CCUACGGGGGGCUGCAGUGAGGAAUAUUGGUCAAUGGACGAGAGUCUGAACCAGCCAAGUAGCGUGAAGGAUGACUGCCCUAUGGGUUGUAAACUUCUUUUAUAUGGGAAUAAAAUGUUCCACGUGUGGGAUUUUGUAUGUACCAUAUGAAUAAGGAUCGGCUAACUCCGUGCCAGCAGCCGCGGUAAUACGGAGGAUCCGAGCGUUAUCCGGAUUUAUUGGGUUUAAAGGGAGCGUAGGUGGAUUGUUAAGUCAGUUGUGAAAGUUUGCGGCUCAACCGUAAAAUUGCAGUUGAAACUGGCAGUCUUGAGUACAGUAGAGGUGGGCGGAAUUCGUGGUGUAGCGGUGAAAUGCGUAGAUAUCACGAAGAACUCCGAUUGCGAAGGCAGUUCACUGGACUGCAACUGACAGUGAGGCUCGAAAGUGUGGGUAUCAAACAGGAUUAGAUACCCGGGUAGUC
Molecule: ribosomal RNA, 460 nt
Filed under: uncultured bacterium
Lineage: Bacteria
Description: partial 16S ribosomal RNA
Rfam family: Bacterial small subunit ribosomal RNA
Source: RNAcentral